Molecule: ribosomal RNA, 700 nt
Filed under: uncultured bacterium
Lineage: Bacteria
Description: bacterial SSU rRNA
Rfam family: Bacterial small subunit ribosomal RNA
Source: RNAcentral
UGCAAGUCGAACGAGAACGGGUUAUAGCUUGCUAUAAUUGUCAGCUAAGUGGCGCACGGGUGAGUAAUGUAUAGGUAAUAUGCCUCUUACUAAGGGAUAACAAAUGGAAACGAUUGCUAAUACCUUAUACUCCUUAUUAACUAAAGUUAGUAAGGGAAAGAUUUAUUGGUAAGAGAUUAGCCUGUAUUGUAUCAGUUAGUUGGUGGGGUAAUGGCCUACCAAGACUAUGACGCAUAACUGGUUUGAGAGGAUGAUCAGUCACACUGGAACUGAGACACGGUCCAGACUCCUACGGGAGGCAGCAGUGGGGAAUAUUGCACAAUGGACGAAAGUCUGAUGCAGCAACGCCGCGUGGAGGAUGACACAUUUCGGUGCGUAAACUCCUUUUAUAUAAGAAGAUAAUGACGGUAUUAUAUGAAUAAGCACCGGCUAACUCCGUGCCAGCAGCCGCGGUAAUACGGGGGGUGCAAGCGUUACUCGGAAUCACUGGGCGUAAAGAGCAUGUAGGCGGAUUGAUAAGUUUGAAGUGAAAUCCUAUAGCUUAACUAUAGAACUGCUUUGAAAACUGUUAAUCUAGAAUGUGGGAGAGGUAGAUGGAAUUUCUGGUGUAGGGGUAAAAUCCGUAGAGAUCAGAAGGAAUACCGAUUGCGAAGGCGAUCUACUGGAACAUUAUUGACGCUGAGAUGCGAAAGCGUGGGGA